UACGGGGGGUGCGAGCGUUGUCCGGAAUCACUGGGCGUAAAGGGCGCGUAGGUGGCUGUGUAAGUUUGCGGUGAAAGCCCGGGGCUCAACCCCGGGUCUGCCGUGAAUACUGCACGGCUUGAGUACUGUAGAGGCAGGUAGAAUAUCGGGUGUAGCGGUGGAAUGCGUAGAGAUCCGAUAGAAGACCGGUGGCGAAGGCGGCCUGCUGGGCAGUAACUGACACUGAGGCGCGACAGCGUGGGGAGCAAACAGG
This 253-nucleotide ribosomal RNA is filed under the name uncultured bacterium. Its description in RNAcentral is "partial 16S ribosomal RNA". It matches the Rfam family "Bacterial small subunit ribosomal RNA", at positions 524 to 776 of the family's 1533-position model. The record is from RNAcentral.